AGAGUUUGAUCCUGGCUCAGGACGAACGCUGGCGGCGUGCCUAAUACAUGCAAGUCGAGCGGGGUUAUUUAGAAGCUUGCUUCUAAACAACCUAGCGGCGGACGGGUGAGUAACACGUAGGCAACCUGCCCACAAGACAGGGAUAACUACCGGAAACGGUAGCUAAUACCCGAUACAUCCUUUUCCUGCAUGGGAGAAGGAGGAAAGACGGAGCAAUCUGUCACUUGUGGAUGGGCCUGCGGCGCAUUAGCUAGUUGGUGGGGUAAAGGCCUACCAAGGCGACGAUGCGUAGCCGACCUGAGAGGGUGAUCGGCCACACUGGGACUGAGACACGGCCCAGACUCCUACGGGAGGCAGCAGUAGGGAAUCUUCCGCAAUGGGCGAAAGCCUGACGGAGCAACGCCGCGUGAGUGAUGAAGGUUUUCGGAUCGUAAAGCUCUGUUGCCAGGGAAGAACGUCUUGUAGAGUAACUGCUACCAAGAGUGACGGUACCUGA
This 496-nucleotide ribosomal RNA is filed under the name Paenibacillus sp. iMTII6. Its description in RNAcentral is "bacterial SSU rRNA". It matches the Rfam family "Bacterial small subunit ribosomal RNA", at positions 8 to 482 of the family's 1533-position model. Lineage: Bacteria; Bacillati; Bacillota; Bacilli; Caryophanales; Paenibacillaceae. The record is from RNAcentral.